ACGUGAUCUGAGUUCAGACCGGAGUAAUCCAGGUCAGUUUCUAUCUAUAAAAAGUUUUUUUCAGUACGAAAGGACCAAAAAAACAUGGCCAAUGUAUCUCACAAGCCAUAUCUACUAACCCAUGACCAACCCUCAACGGGUAACUAGAUUCUCACCAGUCUCAAGAUUAGAGAA
This 174-nucleotide ribosomal RNA is filed under the name Cyclorana australis (Australian water-holding frog). RNAcentral describes it as "Ranoidea australis partial 16S ribosomal RNA". Lineage: Eukaryota; Metazoa; Chordata; Amphibia; Anura; Pelodryadidae. The record is from RNAcentral.